RNAcentral lists this ribosomal RNA (241 nucleotides) under uncultured bacterium. RNAcentral's name for it is "partial 16S ribosomal RNA". It matches the Rfam family "Bacterial small subunit ribosomal RNA", at positions 334 to 566 of the family's 1533-position model. The record is from RNAcentral.
GAGCCCCUACGGGGCGCAGCAGUAGGGAAUCUUCCACAAUGGACGAAAGUCUGAUGGAGCAACGCCGCGUGAGUGAAGAAGGGUUUCGGCUCGUAAAGCUCUGUUGGUAGUGAAGAAAGAUAGAGGUAGUAACUGGCCUUUAUUUGACGGUAAUUACUUAGAAAGUCACGGCUAACUACGUGCCAGCAGCCGUGGUAAUACGUAGGUGGCAAGCGUUGUCCGGAUUUAUUGGGCGUAAAAC